Molecule: unclassified non-coding RNA, 252 nt
Filed under: uncultured Rikenellaceae bacterium
Lineage: Bacteria; Pseudomonadati; Bacteroidota; Bacteroidia; Bacteroidales; Rikenellaceae
Description: contains 16S-23S intergenic spacer region
Rfam family: Bacterial small subunit ribosomal RNA
Source: RNAcentral
UACGGAGGAUCCAAGCGUUAUCCGGAUUUAUUGGGUUUAAAGGGUGCGUAGGCGGUUUGAUAAGUUAGAGGUUAAAUGUCAGUGCUCAACACUGGCCUGCCUCUAAUACUGUUGAACUAGAGAGUAGAUGCGGUAGGCGGAAUGUAUGGUGUAGCGGUGAAAUGCGUAGAGAUCAUACAGAACACCGAUUGCGAAGGCAGCUUACCAAACUAUAUCUGACGUUGAGGCACGAAAGCGUGGGUAGCAAACAGG